RNA transcript from Myiozetetes cayanensis, 3505 nucleotides. It is a transcript of the gene named phospholamban, with no coding region annotated. NCBI's taxonomy places the organism in Eukaryota, Metazoa, Chordata, Aves, Passeriformes, Tyrannidae. The transcript has 4 exons. The record is from RefSeq and is a predicted model, not a curated record.
UAGAGGAGCCACUGCCUGUGUCAGAAGGCAAAUGGGACCAAUCAACUUGUGAGCUGUCGAAUGACACAGUGAGUCCCUGCCUCUGCAACUUUUGUUAUUUCUUCCCCUCAACUUACUUCAAUUGUUUCCACAACUUAGUUACAGACUAGGACAAGUUGCCAGAGAUCUACAGGCACGUCCCACAGCCCGGAGCAAGCUCCUCUGUGCUUCACUAUAACAGUAAGACCAGAGGUGGGUGACAGCACCAUGAAGGAUUAACGAGCAAGGUACUGGGGGAAAAAAGCCUGUAGGAGUAUCCAGAUCCUUUUCCGGAAAAAGAAAACAACACAACUCUAGUUACUGUAAACAAACAUUUUUUUCUUAAGUGGUAGAAACUAAAACCAGAUAAACAGCUAUGGACACAAUGAAAUUCGUGUGAAUCUACCUGGCUUAGCACUGAAGGAGCAACCCAAAGCUACAAUUAAGAGUCUUCUGCAAGCACAAGAGGGCAGGCUGACGCACAUUAUGGAUCUUGCCAACAACAGAGGUCUCAACUUGUUGCUCAAUUUUCUACUCAUUUUCUUGGUUCUAGUGCUUGCAUUUAUCCUUGUGAAGCUGAUGUGAACUUCUGCAAGGUUGUGCUUCCUUCUCAGGCCUUGUUUUGAGUGCUUUGCAGUGAUAAUGUAGACACUUAAAAAUAUCUAAAUAUAAGUAUGCAAAGACUGCAGAGGCUGAAACAUCUGACAGAAUGUGUUCCCACACCAAAUUUAUCAGAAAGCAAUCCUAAAAGCUGUGCACAACUAUCUGCCUACCAUUGAGUGAAAAAAGCAUCUAGAGCCUUGCUGAGUACCUGAAGAAAUACGACUACGCAUCAGCAGCUAUGAUAGUUUCUCACUGCUACAGCUGAUUGGUAUUUAAAAGACCUACAAAUUACCUUCAGCCUUCAAAGAACAUCAUUUCUGCAAAAGCAGAAAUCAAACUUUUAAAAUGGAUUUCUGUAGAACAGGUACUUCAUGGGAAAUGACAAGGGUACAGCAGGAAGGAAAAACAAAAUGCCAACACUGAGUUGACAGCACACAUCAAAUUACCUGUGGAGAGAAAAGCACAGAUGUUGCAGAUGGAAUCAAAGCAGCUUGCAGCAGCCGAGAUGGGGAUAAGUGAAGGUUAAAUAUGAAAACAUAAUUAUUAGUUAUACCUUUUUUCACCACCUAUGGUUCACUGCAGCACCUCAAAAGCCAGAAGCCCUAGUGUUAUCCAGCAGUAUCAGAAGAAGCAGCUGUCAAAACAACUGAAAAACAGGGGACCUUUAACCAGGGUUAUCACAACUCUGCCUAGGAAACCCUUAACACUGGCACAUACACAAGGAGUAGGUGCAUCUGCACAAACCCAACAAGUGUGUCACAGCCUCAGUAAGAUGGAUUUACCACUUAGGCACAGGUCAAGUGAGCAGUAUGGGAGCCCUCCAGCCAUAUUUGACAGACCACUUGUUACUUGCCAGUGCAAUCAUCCAGUCCAUCCAUAGCUGGUCCUUCGGAAGGACAGUGACCAACAAGAGCACACUUCUCUUGGAAUUAUAUGCCGAGAAGGCAGUUCUGCAUACCUGAGACACACCAGCAAGGGAGGUGACCAGAAGCAGAUUUUUGUACAUUACACUGGGGCCAAACAGCUCCCUCUUAGCAUUUCACUUUCCCAAAUGAAACAUGGGAACAGUGUGCACCAACACACACACAUUGUACAGUAAACUUAAUGUCAUAGAUAUCUGUAUUAACAGUCUUUUUUUUUUUUUUGAUACAUGCAAAAGAAGCAGAUGUUGCUCAUGGGGUGGGAGAAGCCCCAGCUUCCAGCUUUCUGCUACCAACAGCACAUCCCUGACUGAGCACAUACACUGCUGAGUGCCAAGCACAUUACAGAGCUUAUCUGUUCAUGUUCACACCCAGAAUUUCCAUAUGAUUACUGUUGUUCUGGGUGGUUCAGUUAUCGUGAAGAGACCAAUCUAUAUAGAUCUUCGGUAGACUUUACACAGUUUGAAAAGGCAGUAUGCCCAGCAAACCAGAAAGUUUAUGCAAGUCCUACCAUUAUUUAUCAUCCACGUUCCACUCCAUGCUACCUGCUCCAAAGCUUAGGCAGUGUUAGUGCGCUGGUUUGGGCUGGAAUAAAGUUAAUUUUCUUCCUGGCAUAGUAGCUAGCAUGGGACUAUGGUUUAGAACAAGUCCAAAACAUAGUUCAUACCAGCUACAAUGAAGAAAAUUAACUCUACCCCAGCCAAACCAGCAUGAUUAGUUACAGCAGCAUGGAUACUUAAAAUGAAAGCUUUUCUUUCACCUGCUCUGAAACAGGUGCAAUAAACAUUUUAAAUAGCUUCUGCAAACUACACAUCCAUAGCUUUUUAAUGUUGGUAGUUAUAGUAGUAUGAAUUCCCAUCUGUUUCCAUUUAAAGCAGAAAACUUUGCAUAGCUAUAUCAUUGUAAGUAGUUUAUCAUUUGUUUUGAUAAUCUUGAAAUAUUCAGCUUUAAAAAACUAACAAACCCUGUAAAUUUAUAUACAAGUCGCAUAUGUGAUAAUAGUUACAUAGCUGUGUAUUGUUUAGGAGGACUUCUGCUGACGCUUGACAUAGAUGGCUCAAAGCACACCAAAACCACAGAAACAAAUAGGAAGCCCACUCUAGUCUAAAGCAGAAUAAAAACAGUUUUCCCAACAAAGUGGUUAUUUGCUGAUAUACUUCCUGGGACUAUAGAAAGCUUAUUGUCUGUAUGACAUUCUGUACUAUUCAAAAGUUUCCUUUUCUUAGGGACACCACUGUGACAGCGGUUGGCCUUCACAAAAAAUGAGGUCACAUACUCCUUUCUAAUAGCAGGAGAAAGAUGAGCCUAGUGCCACCAACUAUCACAUAUUUCCAGAUCCCAAGUCACAUACAAGGGAAGUCUUCUGUAAGAAAUUCUGCCAUUAGAGCAUGGAGAAACAAGCCCAAGAAACAACCCCAGUAGCCUCCUCUCAGCCAGCAAUGAACAUUACAGAAUCCUCAAUAAAUGUUGAAACACGCUGCUGACACUGAGACAUGUAUUUUACUGAGAUGACAUAUAAAGUUGGCAAAGUCAUCAGCUAACCAAUGCCAAGUCUCUUUUUUGCCAUCAAGCCCAGUCCAAGUCUGGUUUCCCAUCGUCUGCUCGUGUUUACUCCAGAAUGAACUCACAUAUGCACCACAGUGAAUGGAAUGCCAUUUGUUGGGCUACCAACUUCACAGCAAAUGGAACAGACCAAGACCAUAAAAGCUUAAUUAUGACUCACAGAGAAGGAGCUCACUAUGAUAACUGAAAGUGAUAAUUCCUCAUAUUAAAAAGUUUUAUCUGCCUGGAAAGUAUGAUUUCAUCAAACCAUGAUGCAGGCAAAAUGUUGAUAUUAAUAAUUUUUAGUUUUCUGAUCUGCCAGGAUUGUAAAAAGAACUAGCUUUGAGUUGACAUUUAAGAAUAAAGUUUUAUGUGGCAACGACAUUAUUUGAAGAAUGUUAUAACCUUUUCAUUUGAUUACA